UCCGCCGCCGCCCGCCCCGCUGCUGCCCCGUCCCGCUGCGGCUUUCUGGACGCCAUCCCCUCCUCACCUCGAAGCCAACAUGAAGGAGACCCGGGGCUACGGAGGGGGUGCCUCCUUCUGCACCCGCCCCAACCACUCCUACACUGGCAUGUGGGCACCCGAGCGCUCCGCCGAGGCGCGGGUCAACCUUACGCGCCCUCUAGGGUCCGGCGAGGAUUGCGGAUCGGUGUCCGUGGCCUUCCCGAUCACCAUGCUGCUCACGGGUUUCGUGGGCAACGCUCUGGCCAUGCUGCUAGUGUCGCGCAGCUACCGGCGCCGGGAGAGCAAGCGCAAGAAGUCCUUCCCGCUGUGCAUCGGAUGGCUGGCGCUCAGCGACCUGGUCGGGCAGCUUCUCACCACCCCGGUGGUCAUCGUCGUGUACCUGUCCAAGCAGCGCUGGGAGCAGCUCGACCCAUCUGGGAGGCUCUGCACGUUCUUCGGGCUGACUGUGUUCCGGCUCUCCUCGCUGUUCAUCGCCAGAGCCAUGGCCGUCGAGCGGGCGCUGGCCAUCAGGGAGCCGCACUGGUACGCGCGCCACCUGCGCUGUGCUGCUCGGCGUGUGGCUGGCCGUGCUCGCCUUCUCCCUGCUGCCCGUGCUGGGAGUGGGACAGUACACGGUGCAGUGGCCCGGGAUGUGGUUCUUCAUCAGCACCAGGCGAGGGGGGCAACGGGACUAGCUCUUCCCAUAACUGGGGCAACCUUUUCUUCCCCUCUGCCUUUGCCUUCCUUGGGCUCUUGGCGCUGACAAUCACCUUUGCCUGCAACCUGGCCACCAUUAAGGGCCUGGUGUCCCGCUGCCGGGCCAAGGCCACGGCAUCUCAGUCCAGUGCCCAGUGGGGCCACAUCACGACCGAGACCGCCAUUCAGCUCAUGGGUAUCAUGUGCAUGCUGUCGGUCUGCUGGUCUCCGCUACUGGAAGUGCCUGAACAACAGUCUGGGGUUCGGAAGCCCAGCAGCUCCUUCAGGUCAUGCAAUCAAGCAGGAUUGGGUAUUCCUGAGAUAGGAGGAGGAAGUAAGGUGGCAGACCUGGCGAACGAAGAAAAGCCUGCCAUUGCUCCGCCCGUCUUUGUGUUUCAGAAGGAUAAAGGACAAAAGAGGUCAGCUGGCAGCUCCAGUCCUGGAGGCGGAGAAGAUUUUGAUCAAGAAGAUGGAAAUUACUGGCCUCCUGUGAAGCGAGAAAGAACGUUCUCUUUAACCCAGUUCCCACCCUCACAGUCACCAGAGGAAAGGAGCAGUGGCUUCGGGUUGAAGCCGCCAAGGCUGGUCCAUGGCCAGGCCCCCAGUGCAGGUCUGCCAAGCCAGGAGCCCAGGGAAAAGCAGCGGAGCAUGCUUCGUACGGCAGUGAUCAGGCCCCCAGCAGUGGCACCAAUGGGGUCAGCCUCCCAGCCGACUGCACGGAGCAGCAUCCCCUGACAACCCUGCACGGAAGAGUCCUUCCCAAGCUGCCAACGAGGUGUGUGCACUUGAGGAGAAAGAGCCCCAGAAAAAUGAGUCCAGCGAUGCCUCUGAAGAGGAAGCCUGUGAGAAAAAAGACCCCACCACACUACAAGCGUUUGUACUUGGGCAGAACUUGAGGGACGGAGUUAAGCUGAUCAAUGAGAGUGCGGACAAAGCCGACAUGGAGAGUGCUGGACACCCCAGUGCAGACACGCCAGCCGGACAAACUAUUUCCUUCAGCGUAUCAGUUCCAGUUUAGAGAACUCAACCAAUAGUGCCGAUGCCUCCAGCAACAAACUCGUAUUUGGCCAGAAUUUGAGUGAGCGAGUUUUGAGCUUUCCAAAAUUAAAUGAGGUCAGUUCAGAUGCCAGUAGGGAAAAUGCAGCUGCCAACGCGGGGUCCACGUCCUCAUCCCAAGAGGCCACCCCCGAGAAGGAGUCCCUGGCCAAGUCGGCAGCUGUUGGAAAAAAGUGGAAGUCAUCACGGGGAGGAGGCGGAGAGCAACGUGUUACAGAUGCAGUGCAAGCUCUUCGUCUUUGACAAGGCCUCACAGUCCUGGGUGGAGAGAGGCCGGGGGCUGCUCAGACUCAAUGACAUGGCGUCCACUGACGAUGGCACGCUACAGUCCCGACUAGUAAUGCGGACCCAGGGGAGCCUGCGACUGAUCCUCAACACCAAGCUGUGGGCCCAGAUGCAGAUCGACAAGGCCAGCGAGAAGAGCAUCCGCAUCAUGGCCAUGGACACCGAGGACCAGGGCGGGAAGGUCUUCCUGAUCUCGGCCAGCUCCAAGGACACAGGUCAGCUGUAUGCAGCCCUGCAGCACCGCAUCCUGGCCUUAGGCAGCCGCGGGGAGUGGGAGCAGGUGGCCAAGAUGCCCGCCCCGGAGCCUGGAGCAGCCCCAUCCAACGAGGAGGAUGACAGUGACGGACGAUGUCCUGGCUCCUUCAGGGGCAACUGCAGCCGGUGCUAAUGACGAAGGGGAUGGGCAGACGACUGGGAGCACAUAGCGGCCGGGAGCCCAGCUGCACACCAGGCUGCUGCUUUGUCCGUCUAUCCGCCUGCCCACCCGCCCCAACCCCACAGGCAGCUUCCAGGUGCCCGGCUGGGAAACACACACCCCGCUGGGCCGGCCACAGUCUGGACCCGCGUGUCCUGUUCAAAAGCAGACUCAGAAACUGCCUGAAUGUGUUUUGGGACAUGAGACCUCAUCAUACUGAUGGGCGAAACAAACAAGAACAUUUCCUCCCUCUUCUCCUUUCAAUUGAAAUGGCACAUUAAGACUCGUCACAGCCUCUCA
Non-coding RNA from Callithrix jacchus (white-tufted-ear marmoset), 2773 nucleotides. NCBI's taxonomy places the organism in Eukaryota, Metazoa, Chordata, Mammalia, Primates, Cebidae. The record is from RefSeq and is a predicted model, not a curated record.